GGGGUCACAAGUUUUUCCUCAGACUGUGGAACUGGGCUUGGUCCCUCUGGAAGCGAUGUAGGUGAUGGGGUUGUUUUUCGUUGCUGGUGAACCGCUCUCCACUGGUGCACCAGGUGGUAUUUCAGGCUCUGGCUGAGCCUCUUGGGUAUGAUUGUCUGUUGCUUCUGCCAGUUCAGACCUGCUGACGCCCUCGGGCAUUGGGGUUGGAGACGGGUUUGCAAGCGCUGGCGUCAGUGCUGGCAACGGUUCUGGUGCUGGUUGCUUUUCCAGUUCUGGGUCUGGGACUGGAGGCACUGUGGCGGUUGCAGUUGUUGGAAGGGGAUCCGGGUCCACCACCUCUGGCUGGGUCUCUGGUAACACAGACGGGGCCCUUGUGGACGGCUCAGGAACAGAGAUGGGUCUGGAAGCUUGCCUGGCU
This is a non-coding RNA of Chelonoidis abingdonii (Abingdon island giant tortoise), 418 nucleotides long. The record is from RefSeq and is a predicted model, not a curated record. Lineage: Eukaryota; Metazoa; Chordata; Testudines; Testudinidae.